AUGGCACACUUAACCCGUGAGAUCGAGUAUCGUGGUUUUCCUGAUGGAGAUCGUCAUCCUGCUUCCAGUGCGCCAAAUCCUUCCUGGCCUGGCAUGAGUUUCGAAGCAGGAAGUGAUUCUGCAAGUGGUUCAAGUCGUGAGUUCGUCAAUCCGCCAGUUGUGAACAAUGGUGACGAACAGGAUGAAGUGAUGGAAGACGGUGAAGAAGACGAAAAUGUGCAGGCUUCUGGAGAUGCAUCAUCAGUCAAACCAAAAGCGCCCUAUGUUGGUAUGGUGUUCGACACCGUCGAGGAAGCUCAAAAGUUUUAUAAUGAAUAUGCCAAGAACCAAGGUUUUGGGACAAGGAUUGCGGGCACAAAAAGGACCCAGAAAAAGGGUUGUGACUUUAUAAUCAGAAGGGAGUUUGAGUGUGCUCAUGCAAGAAAGGGGGGUGAUGAUGUAGGAGGGAAGCAUGCAGGAUGUGAUCCUGAGAUGCAUGAUGCAGUUGAUGUUUUAGCUGAAGGAUGUAACAAGGAGAAAGAUUUUGGUAGCAAGAAAAUUGCAGCAAAAAGGAAUAGGAACAGGGUAAAUAGGCAUGACUGCAAAGCAAGAAUGGCGGUUGGGCUGAGGAGUGGAAAAUGGGAAGUGACAGUAUUCCAAGAAGAGCAUACACACCCCUUGAUGACUAGGUAUGAAUGGACCAUGUAUUACAGAUCACACAGGAAAGUGCCGUAUGAAGACUACAUGUUUCUGAAGACACUACAUAACCGCAACAUACCCACCUCUCUGAUUAUGGCUACACUUGGAGAUUUGCAUGGUGGUCAUGGGAACAUACCAUAUACUGAUAGAGAUGUUGCAAACAUUCGAACUAAGUGGAGGAAUGAGGUGUCUCUGAAAGACAUGGCAAAAACGUGUGAAUAUAUAUUUUGA
This 909-nucleotide ribosomal RNA is filed under the name Triticum aestivum (bread wheat). RNAcentral describes it as "partial small subunit ribosomal RNA". The record is from RNAcentral. Lineage: Eukaryota; Viridiplantae; Streptophyta; Magnoliopsida; Poales; Poaceae.